Molecule: ribosomal RNA, 468 nt
Filed under: uncultured bacterium
Lineage: Bacteria
Description: partial 16S ribosomal RNA
Rfam family: Bacterial small subunit ribosomal RNA
Source: RNAcentral
GACGAACGCUGGCGGCGUGCUUAACACAUGCAAGUCGAACGGAAAGGCCCUGCUUUUGUGGGGUGCUCGAGUGGCGAACGGGUGAGUAACACGUGAGUAACCUGCCCUUGACUUUGGGAUAACUUCAGGAAACUGGGGCUAAUACCGGAUAGGAGCUCCUGCUGCAUGGUGGGGGUUGGAAAGUUUCGGCGGUUGGGGAUGGACUCGCGGCUUAUCAGCUUGUUGGUGGGGUAGUGACUUACCAAGGCUUUGACGGGUAGCCGGCCUGAGAGGGUGACCGGCCACUUUGGGAUUGGGACCGCGCCCGGACCCCUCCGGGGGCAAGAGGGGGGAAAUAUUGCACAGUGGGCGGAGGCCUGAUCCAGCACCCCCGGGGGGGGGAGGCCGCCUUUGGGUUGGAAACCCUCUUUCGCCUGUGACGAAGCGGGAGUGCGGGUAAGGGGUAAAGAGCCCCCGCCUCCCUCCGUC